This is a long non-coding RNA of Branchiostoma belcheri (Belcher's lancelet), 945 nucleotides long. RefSeq lists it as uncharacterized. The record is from RefSeq and is a predicted model, not a curated record. NCBI's taxonomy places the organism in Eukaryota, Metazoa, Chordata, Leptocardii, Amphioxiformes, Branchiostomatidae. The transcript has 3 exons.
CGGUAAAAUACCCCUGCAUGAAAUACCUCUGGGCGGGCGGGCAGUGCUGAUAGCACCACCGUGAGAUACCGGAAGCAUGCGAUGGUCUGGCUGCCAGGCUAUGUUAAAGUAAUUUAGCAUUCUUGGAGUUUAUAUUCGUCUGUUAGUAUAAUACCUGAUGAAUUUAUUUUUAGAAAUUUGUACUGUGAAGAUUCUAACACCCGUUUUCCUGACUUCAUUCAUCUUGUUCUAUGUGUGGUUUGUUCCGUCCAUUUUGCUUACAGAAUUUGGUCAGUAUAUCAUUACAGAUCCGACUGGUCUUUAUCAGGUAUCGGCGAUCAGUGUUUUAGCAAGGAGGUAUUUAACCUCCUUGGUUUUAGUGAAUUUUUUUUAAUAGCUGCUCGUUUUUAGCGGCUGGUUUUUUGGUUUAUGUAAAGUUUGAGCCACCUGACGCCAUGUUCCGCCGGGGUUUUCCGGCCUUACCCCAAUUCUCUCCGUCAAGGCUCUUCUGUCCAGUAACCCCGGGCGUUGGAUUUUCUUGUCUUUCCAGUAAACCUCAGACAUGCAGCGAGGGAUACCCUACUGUUCUACACUGGCCACCGGUGCCGGCAUAUAUGCCCUGUCUGCGCUAAACUGCCCGCACCUGCCAACGACGCAGGGUUCCCAACAGUGGAGACCAUCUCAGUGCACGGAGAAGGUUUCACUCUACAUGGCGACAAACACAACAGUUACUCAAGAAUACAAUUAAGAAGUGGAACAAAAUACCAGGUAAACUUCGCCAUGUCCACCCUGAGAUGCAGACUACAACAGGAAUUCACUGGCUAGCAUGAAACCUAGUCGUGGAAGGCUUGGGGUGUGCAUUCAUGUUUUGCAGCCAAGAAAAUUGAAAAACAAGCAUGGAAUGCAACAGCAUCAUGGAAGCAAAGAAAAUAAAAACUAAAAAAGCAAGACUGACACAAACAUACA